Molecule: ribosomal RNA, 434 nt
Filed under: uncultured bacterium
Lineage: Bacteria
Description: partial 16S ribosomal RNA
Rfam family: Bacterial small subunit ribosomal RNA
Source: RNAcentral
AGCGAACGCUGGCGGCAGGCCUAACACAUGCAAGUCGAACGAACCUAGCGGGGUUAGUGGCGGACGGGGGGGCGACAGGUGGGGAAGUGCCUUUAGGUCUGGAAGAACGCAGGGAAACAUGUGCGAAUACGGGAGGUGAUCUUCGGGGGGACGGUUGGGCGCCUUUAGAGGGGCCCGCGACUGCAUAGCUAGUUGGUAGAGGUAAUGGCUCACCAAGGCGACGUUGAGAAGCGUGUCUGAGAGGAUGGUCCGCCACAUUGGGACUGAGACACGGCCCAAACUCCUACGGGAGGCACCAGUGGGGGAUCUUGCGCAAUGGGCUAAAGCCUGACGCAGCCAUGCCGCGUGAAUGAUGAAGGUCUUAGGAUUGUAAAAUUCUUUCACCGGGUACGAUAAUGACGUUACCCGGAGAAUAAGCCCCGGCUAACUUCGUG